RNAcentral lists this long non-coding RNA (1712 nucleotides) under Nicotiana benthamiana. RNAcentral's name for it is "long non-coding RNA (NBEN_LNC015883)". The record is from RNAcentral. Lineage: Eukaryota; Viridiplantae; Streptophyta; Magnoliopsida; Solanales; Solanaceae.
GUAAAUAGAGAAAGCAUUCACUCACACAAGAUGGGGAUCUGAAUUUCUGCAAAAAACAAAUCUCUGAAAAAUAAAAUUAGAUUUUAGAAUCUUGAAGAGCAUUUCAAAAGUUUUCAGCUAGUGUCUCAUUGAGAAGGGAUUUUCAUUCUUUUUCUGUGUUCCACCAAAAUUAGAACACAUUUUCUUUCAAAGAUUCUGGGCUUUUGAAUUGCAAGAUGGUUUGAAUUGGAAGCUGUGAUAUUGCUGGUUAUUGGCUACUAUUCCAUUGAUUUCUUGCUUGGUUUUCUUUGCUAGUUUCUUUGAUGAUUCACAACCCUGCUUCUGUUAUUUGUAACCAGGUAUACCUUGAGCUUUGAAUUAUGAAUGAAAUAUAAUAUUGUUCCUGAAGAGUGUAAUAUUUUCAUGGAGUUUGGAGUUCAUGUAUACAUCUUAAGUUUCUUUCUGAUGUCUUCAUUUAAAAAAUCGACUUCUGAUCUUUAACUUCCUCCUCAGUUCCUACUUGAAUACACCAAGGAUGUUGUGUUGUUUUAGGAAAUAGCUAGGAUGUUUAGUAUUGAAGUUUCUAAAUAUUAUCUCUUUCAUAUGCUAAAAUUUAGCCUAGAUGGUUUUGCUUAAAACAUUGAAUAUCAGUCUGCUCUGUACCUUUAUUUUUAGUUAGUUGGCUGUCCAGUGCUCUCAACUGAGUAUCCUAGAUCAGCUUUGAUAAUCAUUGCUUUUCUCUUAGGAUUUCCAUGUAUGAAUGUAUGAAACUAGACCAUUUUUGUAUUGAUUUCAAGCUGGUAAACAGCUCUAAUUGUUUGUCUAGGUGUAUGUUAAAUUUUGACUAGUAUAUUAAGCUUAAAAUAUAGUAUUUUGCUAUCAAGUGCAUUCAUUUAAAUUGUCACUAAUUUCAGCAUGUUUUAAAAGAGAUGAUUGUAUGGCUGAAUUUAGGAUGAUGUGUGUAUAGUUUGAGUGUUUACUUUUCUUUUUACUAAAUGAAUGAUAUUGGUUAAGGUCCAGCAUAUUAGGCAUUUUACUUUCAGUUGGUGCAAAUAUGGCUAUACAUGGGGUAAUGAUUUAAGCCCUCACAGGCUUUAGUCGAUUGAGGCAUUUUGGUCCUGGCAAUGGCCCAAAUCUGGUUAACAGGCUAAAAAAGGGGCUUCAUCGUGCCCAUUCCCCUGAUAUUUUACGCUUGGGCUCAAUUUUGAGACCAGUCGGUUUCAUCCUUGCUCUCUUUUAGCCAGCACCUUUAGUAAUAUACUGGGCCUGCUACUGGCCAAGAUUCUUACCAAUAGCUAACACCCACCCCAUAUUUCCUUGCAUAUAAUAGCUUUAUUUUAAGUCUAAAAUAGUUAAGUAAGAACUCCUUCUGAUUACCUUAAUUAAACAAACCUUCUAAAAUUGAGGUAUGCCAUUCUUUAAUUUAUAACACUUGGCUCUCACAAAUUUAGAUAAGUAAAUUGGGGUGUGCCAUAUACAGGUAUAAUCUUUUAAUUUAUGGCCUCACAUAAUUUAAUUAAUAAUCGCAGUUUGCAUUAGGCCUGAUUUAGAUUAGUAUUACGAUCGGGUAUACGUUUGUGUAACAUAAUUGUAAAUUAAUUUAUUAAAAGACUCGAGGGAUGCAAUCGCGCAACUUCAACGAAACUUCCUUAAUAAAUAAACAAAGUAUUACUAAUAGUGGACACGUUCGCGUGACACGAUUCUUGACGCACCAAAGGAAAAGAGUAUAUGCG